Molecule: ribosomal RNA, 1018 nt
Filed under: Peltigera neopolydactyla
Lineage: Eukaryota; Fungi; Ascomycota; Lecanoromycetes; Peltigerales; Peltigeraceae
Description: eukaryotic LSU rRNA
Rfam family: Eukaryotic large subunit ribosomal RNA
Source: RNAcentral
CUUUAAAAUCAGACCUCCUGUGUGGGGGUCAGAGUUGUAAUCUGUAGAGGGUGUUUCGGGUGCGGCUCUGGUUUAAGUUCCUUGGAACAGGGCGUCAUAGAGGGUGAGAACCCCGUCUGCAACCAGUGGCUUAGCCUAUGUGAAACCCCUUCGACGAGUCGAGUUGUUUGGGAAUGCAGCUCCAAAUGGGUGGUAAAUUUCAUCUAAAGCUAAAUAUUGGCCGGAGACCGAUAGCGCACAAGUAGAGUGAUCGAAAGAUGAAAAGCACUUUGGAAAGAGAGUUAAAUAGUACGUGAAAUUGUUGAAAGGGAAGCGCUUGCGACCAGACCUGCGCGUAGGUGAUUAGUUAGUAUCCUCUAAGUUACUAGUGCACUCACCUAUAGCCAGGCCAGCAUCGGUUUCGGCGGCGGGACAAAAGCGUGGAGAAUGUAACUCUCUCUUUGGGGGAGUACUUAUAGCUCGUCAUGAAAUGCCGCCAGCUGAGACCGAGGACCGCGCUUUUUAGCUAGRAUGCUGGCAUAAUGGUGCAAGCGACCCGUCUUGAAACACGGACCAAGGGGUGGAAGCUCGCAGCGGUUCUGACGUGCAAAUCGAUCGUCAAAUUUGGGCAUAGGGGCGAAAGACUAAUCGAACCAUCUAGUAGCUGGUUCCUGCCGAAGUUUCCCUCAGGAUAGCAGUAACGAUUCUCAGUUUUAUGAGGUAAAGGAAUGAUUAGAGGCCUUGGGGCUGCAACAGCCUUAACCUAUUCUCAAACUUUAAAUAUGUAAGAAGUCCUUGUUACUUAAUUGAACGUGGACAAUUGAAUGCAACGUUACUAGUGGGCCAUUUUUGGUAAGCAGAACUGGCGAUGCGGGAUGAACCGAACGCAAGGUUACGGUGCCGGAAUGCACGCUCAUCAGACACCACAAAAAGUGUCAAUUCAUCCAGACAGCCGGACGGUGGCCAUGGAAGUCGGAAUCCGCUAAGGAGUGUGUAACAACUCACCGGCCGAAUGAAUUGGCCUUGAAAAUGGAUGGCG